This 497-nucleotide ribosomal RNA is filed under the name uncultured bacterium. RNAcentral describes it as "partial 16S ribosomal RNA". It matches the Rfam family "Bacterial small subunit ribosomal RNA", at positions 28 to 507 of the family's 1533-position model. The record is from RNAcentral.
GAUGAACGCUGGCGGCGUGCCUAAUACAUGCAAGUCGAGCGAACGGACGAGAAGCUUGCUUCGCUGAUGUUAGCGGCGGACGGGUGAGUAACACGUGGAUAACCUACCUAUAAGACGGGGAUAACUUCGGAAAACCGUAGCUAAUACCGGAUAAUAUUUUGAACCGCAUGGGUCAAAAGUGAAAGACGGUCUUGCGGUCACUUCUAGAUGGAUACGCGCUGCAUUGGCUAGUUGGUAAGGUAACGGCUUACCAAGGCAACGAUGCAUAGCCGACCUGCGAGGGUGAUCGGCCACCCUGGAACUGAGACACGGCCCAUGCUCCUACGGGAGGCAGCAGUAGGCAAUCGUCCGCAAGGGGCGGAAGCCUGACGGAGCAACGCCGCGUGAGUGAUGAAGGUCUUCGGAUCGUAAAACUCUGUUAUUAGGGAAGAACAUAUGUGUAAGUAACUGUGCACAUCUUGACGGUACCUAAUCAGAAAGCCACGGCUAACUACGUG